CUACGGGCCGCUCCAGUGAGGAAUAUUGCACAAUGGGGGGAACCCUGAUGCAGCAACGCCGCGUGGAGGAUGACGCAUUUCGGUGUGUAAACUCCUUUUAUAUGUCAAGAAAAUGACGGUAGCAUAUGAAUAAGCACCGGCUAACUCCGUGCCAGCAGCCGCGGUAAUGACGGAGGGUGCAAGCGUUACUCGGAAUCACUGGGCGUAAAGGACGCGUAGGCGGGUUGGAAAGUCAGGUGUGAAAUCCUACAGCUUAACUGUAGAACUGCACUUGAAACUUCUAAUCUAGAGUAUGGGAGGGGGAGAUGGAAUUAGUGGUGUAGGGGUAAAAUCCGUAGAUAUCACUAGGAAUACCUAAAGCGAAGGCGAUCUCCUGGAACAUUACCGACGCUAAGGCGUGAAAGCGUGGGGAGCAAACAGGAUUAGAUACCCCGGUAGUC
This 440-nucleotide ribosomal RNA is filed under the name uncultured bacterium. RNAcentral describes it as "partial 16S ribosomal RNA". It matches the Rfam family "Bacterial small subunit ribosomal RNA", at positions 339 to 795 of the family's 1533-position model. The record is from RNAcentral.